Molecule: long non-coding RNA, 3405 nt
Organism: Anguilla rostrata (American eel)
Lineage: Eukaryota; Metazoa; Chordata; Actinopteri; Anguilliformes; Anguillidae
Exons: 3
Source: RefSeq, a predicted model, not a curated record
AAUUAUUUGCUGUUUGCAAAUAAAAGCUGGCUCUUCGGGUAAGAGCCUCAAUUUAGUGAACAAUUAUUGUAACACUGAUUAACAAAAAAUAAUAAUAAUCCUUGGAUGACUUGGGUAGCACUUCAUAGCCACGGGAGAAAUAUGAUGAUGGGACUGCCUGAACGAAUAAAGCCUUCAAAUACAUACAAGGAAGCAAUAUUUAAUCAUUUUUUACUGGGACAAAGCAGACUCCAACACUAUGCAGCUGGUAUGGGAACAAGCUGAUACUCUGAUGUCAGGCAUGCCAGCAAAUUAGACUGGCUCUUGGGCAGCCUAGGCUUCAUUAUCAUUUGUGUUCGUAAGGCAGAAAAUACGAUCAGCCCCAUACAAAAGGUGCAUCGUAGGUCAACCCUGCUGAACCUCGCUUGCUUUAAUCCGACGCUUCAGCCAGGAAAUCAAAUCCAGACGAGAAGCCCGGCCUGGGAGGCAGUUGGGCACUUCCAGCAAUCCGUCAGACGAGGGGCUGAGCCGCUAGGAAAAGCCGGCUAUCACCGGAGUCAUCUUAACAGAUUUCCACAGAGAAAUAUUCAUACGUGCGUGUCUGUUUGGAUGGAUUGGAUGGACUGGACACUCAGCGGGCUCCCACAAGCAUUUCGCGCGGCUCGGGGGGAUUGUGGGCUUCUAUUGACUCCCGCUCCCGCGCAUGAAAUAACAUCGCCCGCGCCGGCCUAUAACUCUGUAAUGUGUCUCUUAUUGAAUCCUUCCACGGCACCUCGCGGUUUAAAUUGCAGCUGUCUGGUUUGGAGGGGCGGCGGACUGCGGCUUAUGAGACCGGUACGUUGCUGAAGGCUCCGACGGGAUUGCUGCUGCCUCUCACAAAUGCGCCACUGUCGCCUGGCUGGCGGAAACUACCGUGGCGACCGCCGCAAACAAUAAUGAUGAAGGAUGUCAGAGUCGUCGAGGGCGAUUGACAGAAAUGAGAAAUGUGCAUGGAAUGCUCAGAGCAAGUUCGGUCAGGAUGCUGGGGAACCUCCACCAGGAGGACCUGCACUCUGGGGCCAGAAGCAUGUGACCUGCACCACAGGAACAUACCUGCACAAUCCAAGAGUGUGAGGCGAAUGGUCAAUGAACUGAAGGAACACUUUCUCAGCUCCUGUUUCGGUACUAAACAUCAUCUUCUCUGCCAUAGCAGUGGGCUGCCUCACUGCCUCACAUACACUUCAACUGCCACUUUUCUGGGAUCAGUGCAGCUACUGUGGCAGCUCCUGAAGUUCCCACGGCCAUACUCAGAAAUCAUGACAAUAGUCAUCUGCUGCUUUUGAAGGCUACAACAUACCAAUGUCUCCAUACCAAGAGCAACAAUCAAGCUCAUAUCAUUGGCAUCUACAUAUGCUGCAUGCGCUGCUAACAUUUGCUACUUGCUGCUGCUGCUAUGUUUAGUAUAUAAUGAAUGAAUAAAUAAAUAAAUAAAUAAGCUCCAGGUAGUGCUGGGCACUGACUCAUUUAAAAGUAGUCCUUUUCUGAUCCCGGUGUCACCAGGUUGCAUCGGCAGUGGACUUCCUGAUCUUCAGGAAACAGCAGGUGAUCUGUUCUACGCAUAGAUUUCUGUCACUAUCACAUAAUUUUAGUAUGGCCAACAUCAGAUCGAGGAUUUCAGCUCAUGUUCUGUCUGUGUGCUGGAGAGAUAUCAUCAUGGUCUUACCGAUUAUUCUGGAAACAGCAGAUGCUCUGCUGUGCAUAUAAUUUUGGGUUUGGCAAUUGGAUGAUUUGGGGAUUUCUGUUAUUCCUCCUGUUCAGUAGGGAAGACGUAUUGUGCUCCCUGGUAGAUAAGGUAGUGGACACUGGUGUGAGCACUGUAAUACCUGAAGCAGAUCCAUUUGGCACCGAACCGAAAAAUGUACUUUCAUAUUCAUUAAAAUAUUUAAUCUAAAUACAUAAGUGGUCCUGACUGAAAUGAAUUUGUAUAGGAAUAUUUCAAAUAGAACCAUCAAAGUGAAUAUUUUGGCAAGCCAAUCUGAUGGCACUGUGAUGAUGUGGCCUCAUGCCAGCCUCAUCACAUCACUUUCAUUUUUACACUCACCAUUUCUCUACUCUUUUAGUCACCUAAGGACUUCAUAUUGUUUACAUUCAGCUGUUCACUUCAUCAGUAAAAACAAACACACGUAGUCAUUCAUUUACUUACACAUUGUUUAUAAAAUCUACCAUCCAUUGUUCAGCUGAUUUGUUCUUUCUGUUUGCCACUGUCUCUUUUUACCGUUUUCAGUUUGAAAUCAUGUUUGCUCUGCCAGAGGCGCCGCCGUCAGAUGUUAUUUCCUGGAUGCGACAGCUGCGUAUAUCCGGGAAAUACCGAUCUUUACAUUUCAAAUUUCACAGGUUAUUUUUAAAGUGUACCUCAGACUGGUUAAAAAUGAUUUACUUUAUAAUAAGUUUAAUUCAAUUCAAUAUUAAACUUAUAUUCUGUAUUGUGUGGUGAUGUUUGGACUCAUUACUAAACAGAUAAUAUCCAAACUUUAAUGCAGCUCCCCUGUCAUUUCUUUGGUAUAGUCCCUUGGAGGGUUUCUUAUUUAAGCAGUGGGUUUUGGGACUGCAGGGGGACUGGUUAAAGUAGAGGUACCGUAUGUGAUACUUAGUGAGCUGUUGAAGCGAGCGUCUAUUAUUGUACUGUCUAGUUAAGAUAUUGUGGCUGUUAACCUAUACAUUUCUUAGGGCAUUUGUUUUGUUUAUUUUUUUAUUUUUUGUCUUCUAGUCUUUUGUUGUUUAUUCUUACACUUCUGAGCACUGUAUAUAAACCUGGCACUUUUUGCACUGAAUUUUGUUGUCCUGCAUGCUUCCCUACCAUCCCCCAUGGCGACUCAACCAACUACAUCAUUACAGGCACCUGUAGGUCAUAUAAUUUCCUUCUCAAUCUUUAAAAUGACCACAGGCUCAACCCACUGAAUCGAAGGCAUUAACUGCAAUUAGCAGAAAACAAUAGCACAAAAAACCUCUACCAAUCCUCUGUCUGUCCGAAGCAGUGCACUGCCCUGCACAGCACAGUUUAAACUAGAAAAAAUGCAAUUAAAUCAUUUCUCUGAACUCUAAGAACGGAUUUAGGUUAUACACAUCACCCUAUUUUUGAGUGCCGUUUCCUGAAACUAAUGUCACGAAGACCUUAGUCCUCAAAACACCUGCUGUUUUUCAUGUUGUUCUCAUUAAACUUACAUUUGUAUGUAUUCCAAAAAUGCGAAUUUUAAAUAUGUACAUGAAAUAAAUAAUAUUAAUAUUAGAACAGGACAUGACAUCAAAUACUGGUGGGGAAAGAAGGUCAAUAAUUACUUCAUGUUCAAAUACUGAAACAUAGGAGCACAACCGAACAAAAACGUAACCAAUAUCUUCUCAUUGAUAUGCUAAUUAUCUCAGUAAUAAAAAGGAAGCCCUUCUAGGCGG